AGAGCGAACGCUGGCGGCAGGCCUAACACAUGCAAGUCGAGCGCCCGUAGCAAUACGGGAGCGGCAGACGGGAUAGUAACACGUGGGAACGCGCCCUUCGGUUCGGAAUAACUCAGGGAAACUUGAGCUAAUACCGAAUACGCCCUUACGGGGAAAGAUUUAUUGCCGAAGGAACGGCCCGCGUCCGAUUAGCUAGUUGGUGAGGUAAUGGCUCACCAAGGCUACGAUCGGUAGCUGGUCUGAGAGGAUGACCAGCAUCACUGGGACUGAGACACGGCCCAGACUCCUACGGGAGGCAGCAGUGGGGAAUAUUGGACAAUGGGCGCAAGCCUGAUCCAGCCAUGCCGCGUGGAUGAUGAAGGCCUUAGGGUGUAAAGUCCUUUUAACGGGAAGAUAAUGACGGUACCCGUAGAAUAAGCCCCGGCUAACUUCGUGCCAGCAGCCGC
RNAcentral lists this ribosomal RNA (446 nucleotides) under uncultured bacterium. Its description in RNAcentral is "SSU rRNA". It matches the Rfam family "Bacterial small subunit ribosomal RNA", at positions 26 to 518 of the family's 1533-position model. The record is from RNAcentral.